This 465-nucleotide ribosomal RNA is filed under the name uncultured bacterium. RNAcentral describes it as "bacterial SSU rRNA". It matches the Rfam family "Bacterial small subunit ribosomal RNA", at positions 339 to 796 of the family's 1533-position model. The record is from RNAcentral.
UUACGGAAGGCGGCAGUGGGGAAUUUUGGACAAUGGGCGCAAGCCUGAUCCAGCCAUGCCGCGUGCGGGAAGAAGGCCUUCGGGUUGUAAACCGCUUUUGUCAGGGAAGAAACGGCUUUCUCUAAUACAGAGAGCUAAUGACGGUACCUGAAGAAUAAGCACCGGCUAACUACGUGCCAGCAGCCGCGGUAAUACGUAGGGUGCAAGCGUUAAUCGGAAUUACUGGGCGUAAAGCGUGCGCAGGCGGUUAUGCAAGACAGAGGUGAAAUCCCCGGGCUCAACCUGGGAACUGCCUUUGUGACUGCAUGGCUAGAGUGCGGCAGAGGGGGAUGGAAUUCCACGUGUAGCAGUGAAAUGCGUAGAUAUGCGGAGGAACACCGAUGGCGAAGGCAAUCCCCUGGGCCUGCACUGACGCUCAUGCACGAAAGCGUGGGGAGCAAACAGGAUUAGAUACCCCUGUAGUCG